This 497-nucleotide ribosomal RNA is filed under the name uncultured bacterium. Its description in RNAcentral is "partial 16S ribosomal RNA". It matches the Rfam family "Bacterial small subunit ribosomal RNA", at positions 28 to 507 of the family's 1533-position model. The record is from RNAcentral.
GAUGAACGCUGGCGGCGUGCCUAAUACAUGCAAGUCGAGCGAACGGACGAGAAGCUUGCUUCUCUGAUGUUAGCGGCGGACGGGUGAGUAACACGUGGAUAACCUACCUAUAAGACUGGGAUAACUUCGGGAAACCGGAGCUAAUACCGGAUAAUAUUUUGAACCGCAUGGUUCAAAAGUGAAAGACGGUCUUGCUGUCACUUAUAGAUGGAUCCGCGCUGCAUUAGCUAGUUGGUAAGGUAACGGCUUACCAAGGCAACGAUGCAUAGCCGACCUGAGAGGGUGAUCGGCCACACUGGAAGUGAGACACGGUCCAGACUCCUACGGGAGGCAGCAGUAGGGAAUCUUCCGCAAUGGGCGAAAGCCUGACGGAGCAGCGCCGCGUGAGUGAUGAAGGUCUUCGGAUCGUAAAACUCUGUUAUUAGGGAAGAACAUAUGUGUAAGUAACUGUGCACAUCUUGACGGUACCUAAUCAGAAAGCCACGGCUAACUACGUG